This 29-nucleotide non-coding RNA is filed under the name Mus musculus (house mouse). Lineage: Eukaryota; Metazoa; Chordata; Mammalia; Rodentia; Muridae. The record is from RNAcentral.
UGGGAUUAAAUGCCUGAGCCAUUCUAACC